UAUAUAGAGUGGAUAUAUAUUUUUUGAAAAAAAGAUAAUAUACUGAAUAAAUUAGACUACAGAGAUGAGACAUUUAGGUAUCGUUUGGUUCGGGAAUAAACAAAAAGUGACUAUUUCAGGGAUAGGUAUAAAUUGAGAUAUAAGCGGAGAUUAGAGUUUGGAUGAAAAUUGGGUUAUUACUGGUAAUAAAAAAAAUAACGUUUGGUUAGAUAAAAUGGAAUAAGAAGGAUACUGGGUUUUAUAAAUAAAAAAAAUGAUACUACCCUCUUAUUGUAUUUGAAUUUUAAAUUUUUAAAAUUUUAAAUUUAUAUUUGCUUAUCCCCGAACCAAACGAU
This 335-nucleotide long non-coding RNA is filed under the name Ananas comosus (pineapple). Its description in RNAcentral is "long non-coding RNA (ACOM_LNC001402)". Lineage: Eukaryota; Viridiplantae; Streptophyta; Magnoliopsida; Poales; Bromeliaceae. The record is from RNAcentral.